CCUACGGGAGGCAGCAGUGAGGAAUAUUGGUCAAUGGACGCAAGUCUGAACCAGCCAUGCCGCGUGCAGGAAGACGGCUCUAUGAGUUGUAAACUGCUUUUGUACGAGGGUAAACGAAGAUACGUGUAUCUGUCUGAAAGUAUCGUACGAAUAAGGAUCGGCUAACUCCGUGCCAGCAGCCGCGGUAAUACGGAGGAUUCGAGCGUUAUCCGGAUUUAUUGGGUUUAAAGGGUGCGUAGGUGGUCGGAUAAGUGAGAGGUGAAAUCCCGAGGCUCAACUUCGGAAUUGCCUCUGAUACUGUUCGGCUAGAGAGUAGUUGCGGUAGGCGGAAUGUAUGGUGUAGCGGUGAAAUGCUUAGAGAUCAUACAGAACACCGAUUGCGAAGGCAGCUUACUAAGCUACUUCUGACGUUGAGGCACGAAAGCGUGGGGAGCAAACAGGAUUAGAUACCCGAGUAGUC
RNAcentral lists this ribosomal RNA (460 nucleotides) under uncultured bacterium. Its description in RNAcentral is "partial 16S ribosomal RNA". It matches the Rfam family "Bacterial small subunit ribosomal RNA", at positions 338 to 795 of the family's 1533-position model. The record is from RNAcentral.